Molecule: long non-coding RNA, 2903 nt
Organism: Siniperca chuatsi (mandarin fish)
Lineage: Eukaryota; Metazoa; Chordata; Actinopteri; Centrarchiformes; Sinipercidae
Exons: 3
Source: RefSeq, a predicted model, not a curated record
UGCCUGGUCCUGCACGGCUAUAAGCAAAUCUCCAAGGGGCCGUGCGAUGUAACCUUAUCCCAUAUUCCUCCUGUCAGUCUCUGGCUACGACCCAUCCAUCAACCAGUGCAUAAUUACUCUGUACAGCUACCUCUCCGCCUGUCAGUGUAACUUUUGCAGGUUGUGUUCAAAAGAACGGCAAGCCUCGCACAUGUCUAUUCUCAGACUAUCUGCAGAAGUGAUUAGAGACGGAGACAAGCAGGCCAACCUCAUCAGUGACAGAAUAAGACCUCUGAGAGAGUUUGAGAUGUAUCAGCUCCAGGAUGGGGGCAACUGUGUUAAGAUUUUUUCCAUUUGUUUCCUCUACCUUUUCAACUAUGUUGUUGCUGUAUAAUCUUGUUAUUUUUGCAUAAGAUAUUCACAUUAUAUUAGAGGAAAAUCAUUUUCAGUGGCACAAAAAAAAAGUAAGCUAUCAACAGAAAGGUAGAGAGACACAGAGAGGAGGAACGAUGGAGCGAGAGAGGGAGGAAAAGACUGUUUUGGCUGAGCAGUUGUCUCACAUGAAGAGCGGCAUGCUGUGACCAUAUGCUAGUCCAGGUGGACUUGGUAUCCAGGCAACUGUAUCAAAGCAGUGGGGGCAUUUGCGAUUGAAUCCAGAGGACUUUUCAAACAGCGGAGUCAGAGAGAACAAUGCAGCUAUCAUCUGGCGGCAGGGGUGUGCCAACAGGGAAAUGAGCCCAAGGUCAGAAAGACACAUGGAAACCUUCCUGUGAGGAGGUGGUGGGUCUUAAGCUGUUUUGCAUCACAGAUAAUGAGAUGCUCCCCUGACCCCAGCAGUCGCUUCCAGUCUGAAACUGAUCGAUGAGAGCCCCCUUUGAACCUUAUCUGGUGUUGGGCUUUGCAUUAUGGCUCUACAUCUGGAAGAGAGAUCAGGGCUUUUGCAUGGAGUUUUGGAUGAGGACGUGACCAGACUCCAUUGCUUGGUGUGUUACUGCCAAGCCACCAAAGUUGCUCACUUCCUCCACAAGUUUCCAUCGGGGGAAAACAGCCUCUGAUGUCUGACAUGUCAUGGUUUGGUGAUGUAUGAGCUAUGAGACAGAGACUUUAAAUAGAAGAAUGCACUAUUUGUGUUUUUCUCUUUAUCUUGUAUUUGUCCCCAAACAUUAAAAUGAAUAGAUUUUUUAUUACAGCCAUUAAGUUGGAGAAGAUACCAUCAAAUUUUAUGUUGGUGUUGGGCAAACCUUUUUUUGGUAAAUCAAACAUAAAUUUUACCGAGUUAUGUCUGUUGAUGUCCUUCCUGUGUCGGGGGCCCUUUCUACAUUCCCAAGAAGAUUUCCCAAUGAUUUACAUCUGCUCUUAUUCAACAAUGUCAGUUUUUCAGAGCAAGGGUUUCGGUAAAAAAGACUAUUAGCAGGAUGUUAGUGGCAGCCUUUUUCUCUUAAGUCCCCUCAGUGCUACUACGAAAUGGUCCUCUGUACCAUCGAAGAGUCCCACGGGUAGGAUAAUGACAAUCGAUGCUCUUUUCAUCAGCACAGCCAUCAUGUACACCAGCUCUGGAGCCUCCACAGUAAUGUAAAAGUUAAUAUUUCUCUCCAACUGAAAUGGCCAACAAUCCUGAAGUUUAUUUCACCAGGCAUUUAUUGGCAGUGUCUAUUUCUCCACAAAUGAAAUAUGCAGAUGCAGGCAAAAUUGAUUGACAAUAUCAACAAUGUUGCUUUUUAUUCAGUUUUCAGCUUAGAAAAAAACUAUCUGUGUUCUAAAUAAAUAAACACAGUAAAAGACUACUCCUACACCAAAUAAUGAGAAUACAAAUAUAUUAAUUACACAUGUGCUGUAGGCCCAGCAGGGAGGCUCAGUGCUUCUGCCACAGCUCCCAUCUUUUUCAGUGACUCUGUUAAGCUCAGUGAGUUGAGGACCAUGACUAUCAGUAAUUAGGUUUCUUGGUUUAACAGCAUGUGUGAUCACCAGAUUCAUCCUGCAUCGAGUGCCCGCUGGCAAAACAAAAGGCUCCCUAGGCUGAAUUUUCCUAAGUUGUCUCGGUUCUGUUUCUGUAAUAAAACCUAAUUUGUUGUUGUGCCUUGUUAACGUCCAAAUAAAAGCCUGAAUAUUUUGUUCUUGGAAAAAUAAAGGUGCUCGUUGCACAGAGUACUAGAUCAGGGUAUGACUCAUAAAACAGAGUACUGCAUGUGAUUAGGGAUUUAUAUGUAAGCGUUAUGGUGUUAUUGCUGAUUAUGUGCAUUGUGUGUUUUGCUGAUAACACACUGAAUGUGCCAUUCAGUAUCUGUAUACGCACACCCGUGUGUGCGUGUGCCCUUGCAUGUACUUGCGCAAUUUAUAAAGUAUGUUUUUUUUCCAGAUUUUUUUUCCUUCCAAGCAAAGGACCUCACUGAACCAACCUUCAGCAACAAUGCAUGUUUUAAAACUCACUGUCUAACCACUGACAGACAACAUUCAGUUUCAAUUAGGGUUUCAUAUUAAGUCCCCAGCAGAAGGCCAAAUUGGAGCUGUUGUACAAGUGUGUCUUGGGAGUCUGUGUUCAAAUUCCAGUUUUGUUGUGUUGUUACAUCUAGUCGCAUAUCUUGUGAAAUUUAAGGACCAAACUAAUGGUUUGUAUGUGUUUGCCAAUUUACUUGAAAUUACACAUAUUUACACACAACUGCGAACAAUUUUUCAAAGCAUAUCUACUGCUGUAGCUCAACGUUGACAUAAAUAUGUUUAUUGUGAUGUAUUACCAAUGUAAAGGAGGUUUGAAAUGUUAACUUUUACAAGGCAUGGAAAUUCACAAAUCAAAGACACAAUUGUAUGCUUUGGAAAUCCAGCAGUGAUGAGUAAUGUAUGCAAUUUGUAGUAAAUGGGCUAAAACAUUCUGAAACACUGAUUAAGUCUUUUAAAGUAAUUUAUAAGAAAUGCACCUCACAAACCUU